UGCCCAAGGGAACGAGUGAAGCUGCCAGCAUGAUCUAGCUCUGAGUGAUCACCCGAAAAAGAACAAUAGUUCUAGGUGGUCAUGCCUUGCUAGGUCAUGCUGCUGCAGCCUCACUUCUUCCCGUCGUUGGGCA
Molecule: microRNA precursor, 133 nt
Filed under: Zea mays
Lineage: Eukaryota; Viridiplantae; Streptophyta; Magnoliopsida; Poales; Poaceae
Description: miR167d stem-loop (zma-MIR167d)
Gene: zma-MIR167d
Rfam family: MIR167 microRNA precursor family
Source: miRBase by way of RNAcentral